GUCCCGAGUCCGGCUGGCGACCUGGCGGAGAGUGGGAAGGAGGAGCUGGCGAGCCUGAGGAGCAGGCCGGGCAUCCUAGGCCUGCCCGGGAAGCCGGCCGGGCCGAGCCGUGGGCAGUCAGGCCUCGGCCUGCCGUUGCCAUGGAGCCGGGGCGGGGCGGGGGCCAGACCGGUCCGCCGGGGCGGGCCUCGCUGCUAGGGGCUCCGCGGAGGCAGAGAGAGGCGGCUUCAUUGGCUCGACGACGCCUUCGCCUCAGGGGAUGCUCGGUUUUCCCCUGGCUGGGCCCGGAGGAAGUCUCUCGAGUGCCCGAGACCUUUGUCUGCCCCUCCUCCCACUGUGCGGUCAGGACCGUUCCUCCGAAGGGAGGCCUGGUGCAUUUUUUACUCUUCUGGUUUGCCUCCUUUUGCACCGACCUUGUCAGUGGGGGAGUCUAAGGGGUGAGGUGUUCUUUGUUUGCUAGUGACUUGUCCCAUUUUGCAGGGGAAGACCUAAUGCAUGGUGGGUCCUUUGUUUGCAGUGAAGUGGAAUCCCAGGGGUCCCGAGAACCCUCAAGCCAAGAGUACUGCAUCUAUGGGCUUUCUAGAUAGUCCUUGUGAGGCCCAGCCUCGUGAUGAGGAAUAGCAAGGAGAGAAUUCAGCUCCAGUUCGAAAGCCUGCAAAAUCUGAGCCCCUCACUGCUUUUAUAAGGAUUCCAGCUUUCUCUCCUGGCCAGAAAUGUUCACCCUGGACUCAUUCAGAAAAG
Molecule: long non-coding RNA, 741 nt
Filed under: Rattus norvegicus (Norway rat)
Lineage: Eukaryota; Metazoa; Chordata; Mammalia; Rodentia; Muridae
Description: long non-coding RNA NONRATT029008
Source: RNAcentral